RNAcentral lists this unclassified non-coding RNA (262 nucleotides) under Hevea brasiliensis (rubber tree). Lineage: Eukaryota; Viridiplantae; Streptophyta; Magnoliopsida; Malpighiales; Euphorbiaceae. The record is from RNAcentral.
GUUGUGUUUUAGAGUUGAAGAGUUUCUACUAUCUGAACUUAGGAAUUCUAGAAAUUCCCAAGUUCAACUGACGAAAACCAUUGUUUCAACAACUGAACUUUGGUAUCUAAAGUUCCCUACUUUGAUAGUUGAAGUUACUUCUACCUGUCUUAUUUUCUUUUUGUUCUAAGGCUCUAAAACUUAUUUUUAUAUCCCAAAUAAACCUAGAAUUGUUUGAUGUAUGUAUAGAGUUAUAGAGAUCCUAAUAACUCAUGAAGGUCUA